GGCCUUAUCGUCUAACGGUUAGGACGGAGCCCUCUCAAGGCUCAAAUACGGGUUCGAUUCCCGUUAAGGCUACCA
Molecule: transfer RNA, 75 nt
Filed under: Bacteroidota bacterium
Lineage: Bacteria; Pseudomonadati; Bacteroidota
Also listed under: 2 other names
Description: tRNA-Glu
Rfam family: tRNA
About the family: Transfer RNA (tRNA) molecules are approximately 80 nucleotides in length. Their secondary structure includes four short double-helical elements and three loops (D, anti-codon, and T loops). Further hydrogen bonds mediate the characteristic L-shaped molecular structure. tRNAs have two regions of fundamental functional importance: the anti-codon, which is responsible for specific mRNA codon recognition, and the 3' end, to which the tRNAs corresponding amino acid is attached (by aminoacyl-tRNA synthetases). tRNAs cope with the degeneracy of the genetic code in two manners: having more than one tRNA (with a specific anti-codon) for a particular amino acid; and 'wobble' base-pairing, i.e. permitting non-standard base-pairing at the 3rd anti-codon position.
Source: RNAcentral